GAUGAAGAACGUAGCGAAAUGCGAUACUUGGUGUGAAUUGCAGAAUCCCGUGAACCAUCGAGUCUUUGAACGCAAGUUGCGCCUCAAGCCAUUAGGUUGAGGGCACGUCUGCCUGGGCGUCACAUAUCGUCGCCUGAUGCCAGUUUCCUCGUGAUGGGUGACUGUGCAGGGCGAAUGAUGGCUUCCCGUGAGCAUUGUUGCCUCAUGGUUGGUUGAAAAUUGAGUCCUUGGUAGGGAGCGCCGUGAUAGAUGGUGGUUGAGUGACGAACGAGACCCAAUCAUGUGAGACCCCUACCGAAUUUGGCCUUCAUGACCCACAUGCGUCUUUGGAACGCUCAUGACGAGACCUCAGGUCAGGCGGGGCUACCCGCUGAGUUUAAGCAUAUCAAUAAGCGGAGGA
This 400-nucleotide unclassified non-coding RNA is filed under the name soil metagenome. Its description in RNAcentral is "partial contains 5.8S ribosomal RNA, internal transcribed spacer 2, and large subunit ribosomal RNA". The stretch from base 1 to 122 matches the Rfam family "5.8S ribosomal RNA", at positions 35 to 154 of the family's 154-position model. The record is from RNAcentral.